CGAUGGGUAGCUCAUUGGAGAGCAUCAGGCCCUUAACCUGAAAGUUGCGGGUUCGAAUCCCGUCCACACGGCCA
This 74-nucleotide transfer RNA is filed under the name Planctomycetota bacterium. RNAcentral describes it as "Planctomycetes bacterium (freshwater metagenome) tRNA-Lys". It matches the Rfam family "tRNA". From Rfam's summary of the family: Transfer RNA (tRNA) molecules are approximately 80 nucleotides in length. The record is from RNAcentral. Lineage: Bacteria; Pseudomonadati; Planctomycetota.